Non-coding RNA from Sphaeramia orbicularis (orbiculate cardinalfish), 489 nucleotides. NCBI's taxonomy places the organism in Eukaryota, Metazoa, Chordata, Actinopteri, Kurtiformes, Apogonidae. The record is from the annotation of a RefSeq genome assembly.
AUGUCGUCGGCAAAGCAUGGUGCUGCUGAUGCAAAGUCACUGUAUGGAAAUCAGGACUCACUCCAACAGAGUCACAGAGCCGUGUCUUUACACUCAGAGGUUUUUGUACGACGACUCAACCACUUUGUAUCACUGUGGUGGACGUUCGGUGGAGGAACCAGACUGGAGGUUGGAAGUGAUGUCAUUCCCACCCUGACGGUGCUGCCCCCCUCCACAGAGGAGCUGCAGCAGGGGAAGGCCACGUUCAUGUGCCUGGCCAACAAGGGCUUCCCCUCAGACUGGAGUCUGUCCUGGAAGGUGAACGGCGGCAGCAGCAGCAGCUGGGAGGAGAGCAGGAGCCCCGCGGUGCUGCAGAAGGACGGCCACUACAGCUGGAGCAGCACCCUGAGGCUCCCUGCAGACCAGUGGAGGAAGGUGAACUCUGUGACCUGUGAGGCCACCCAGGGCUCCCAGUCUGCACUCUCACACACACUGAGGACACACCAGUGU